This 465-nucleotide ribosomal RNA is filed under the name uncultured bacterium. RNAcentral's name for it is "partial 16S ribosomal RNA". It matches the Rfam family "Bacterial small subunit ribosomal RNA", at positions 28 to 507 of the family's 1533-position model. The record is from RNAcentral.
GACGAACGCUGGCGGCGUGCUUAACACAUGCAAGUCGAACGGAAAGGCCCUGCUUGCAGGGUAUUCGAGUGGCGAACGGGUGAGUAACACGUGGGUGAUCUGCCCUGCACUUCGGGAUAAGCCUGGGAAACUGGGUCUAAUACCGGAUAGGAGCCAUUUUUAGUGUGAUGGUUGGAAAGUUUUUUCGGUGUAGGAUGAGCUCGCGGCCUAUCAGCUUGUUGGUGGGGUAAUGGCCUACCAAGGCGGCGACGGGUAGCCGGCCUGAGAGGGUGGACGGCCACAGUGGGACUGAGAUACGGCCCAGACUCCUACGGGAGGCAGCAGUGGGGAAUAUUGCACAAUGGGCGCAAGCCUGAUGCAGCGACGCCGCGUGGGGGAUGACGGCCUUCGGGUUGUAAACUCCUUUCGCUAGGGACGAAGCUUUUUGUGACGGUACCUAGAGAAGAAGCACCGGCUAACUACGUG